GGGCUCACACAAGCGGUGGAGGAUGUGGCUCAAUUCGAAGCAACGCGAAGAACCUUACCUGGGUUUGACAUGCUAGUAUUAGCUUUGUGAAAGCAAAGUGACGCGGCUUGCCGUGGAACUAGCACAGGUGCUGCAUGGCUGUCGUCAGCUCGUGCUGUGAAGUGUCGGGUUAAGUCCCUUAACGAGCGAAACCCUUGUCGCUAGUUGCCAGCGAGUAAAGUCGGGCACUUUAGCGAGACUGCCGGUGUUAAACCGGAGGAAGGUGGGGACGACGUCAAGUCCUCAUGGCCUUUAUGCCCAGGGUUGCACACGUCCUACAAUGGGAUGGUACAGAGCGAUGCGAGACCGCGAGGUGGAGCAAAUCGCAGAAAACUUCCCUCAGUUCGGAUUGCAGGCUGCAACUCGCCUGCAUGAAGCUGGAAUCGCUAGUAAUCGCGCAUCAGCUAUGGCGCGGUGAAUGUGUUCCUGAGCCUU
Molecule: ribosomal RNA, 474 nt
Filed under: uncultured bacterium
Lineage: Bacteria
Description: bacterial SSU rRNA
Rfam family: Bacterial small subunit ribosomal RNA
Source: RNAcentral